Belonocnema kinseyi is the source of this 320-nucleotide long non-coding RNA. RefSeq lists it as uncharacterized. Lineage: Eukaryota; Metazoa; Arthropoda; Insecta; Hymenoptera; Cynipidae. The record is from RefSeq and is a predicted model, not a curated record. The transcript has 3 exons.
GAUCCACUUGAAAAUGAAUUUCCGGCUGAUAUCAACACAGUUUUAGCAUCUUAAACUGCCCGCGAAUAGUAACUAACCAGAUGCCGAGUGCGACGCAUGUGUAGUGAAGUAAGAAGCUUUCGUUGCGAGCACUGCAUAAAUAUUUAUGAAAAAAGUAUAAUUUUUCCUGUGAAUGCUCAAUAAGCAGAAGCAGCGAUCAGUAAUAAUUCCAUGAGCGAUAAAAACACAGAAACAACAGAGGAAGCGGCUCUAAGUCAUAUUGGAACAAUUAUUGGAAAUUUCAAAGAUUGAGGUAGCCAUCGAAAGCAGAGGAGGUUAUA